AAACAAAUUCCUAAAUUCUCCUGGAGGAUCUGGUGGAUUUGGAAAUCCAAAGAUAUGGUUUACCUAUGAAGAACUAGUUAAGGCUACUGGUGACUUCUCGGCUGAGAAUUUGUUGGGGGCAGGUGGAUUUGGUUCUGUAUACAAAGGAUGUCUACCAGAUGGGAGGGAUGUAGCAGUAAAGCAGCUAGAUAUUGGUGGGCGCCAGGGGGACCGGG
Molecule: unclassified non-coding RNA, 215 nt
Filed under: Hevea brasiliensis (rubber tree)
Lineage: Eukaryota; Viridiplantae; Streptophyta; Magnoliopsida; Malpighiales; Euphorbiaceae
Source: RNAcentral